Thunnus maccoyii (southern bluefin tuna) is the source of this 840-nucleotide long non-coding RNA. RefSeq lists it as uncharacterized. The record is from RefSeq and is a predicted model, not a curated record. The transcript is spliced from 4 exons. Lineage: Eukaryota; Metazoa; Chordata; Actinopteri; Scombriformes; Scombridae.
CACAGUGACACAGUGUCGGGGUUCAGAAGACGAGACGGACACUGAGAGGCAAAGCACAGUAGCGAUCAGCUCAGUGUCCGGUUUGCCGGUGUCGCAACACCAGUUAUACAAACUCUAGUUAACAGAUGCUUCUGAAUUCGUCACAUACAGCCGUUAUCUUGUUCGUUGAGCUUUGAAAAGGUGAAUGAUGAGUUCUUGAGGAUCACCACAAAGCCGUUGCAAUCGAAGUUCCUGGCCCAGCUGGACCACUUCUCAGAAGCUUCUCCAAAUAUUCCAAAACAGAGGAGUGAAGGGACAGAAGAUAAAGAACAUCCUGGCAAUAAAAGAUGCGUGUGACGACAUCAACAUCAGGAGGGAGUGUAUCCUCAAAAGCGUUGUUGUCUACCUCAGUGGGGAUCCAAACUCUCUCUUCAAGGAGUACCUUCCCUCUGCUGCUGAGGAUGCUGAGAAUGACACUACAGUUAUGGGCAUUUACACUUUCUGAAGAAAUGAGUUUGGUGAGCCUGACGACGUGGAGGUUGUCAUUGAAGGUGUGAAAGUCCUCUCCAAUGUGGAAAAUGUCAUACUGGCUUUCAUCUUACUGUUUGGGCUAAUCUAUGCUCUAGUUCUCAGUUACCCAGACAACCUGAAAUACACAUUUGAGUUUGUGCAGAAAAUCCUUAUGAAUCUGAAUGGACACAAGGUUAACACCAAAAUACAGCAACUGAAAAUCAAGCUGUUCAUGUAAAAGGAGACACAGGUGACAAAUGACAGUGGGACUGGGAAUUUGUUGUUGUUUUGUUUUGUUUUGUUUUUAUCUGAACUGAGCCUGGGGUCCGUUUCACAAAGCAGGUUUAGUGA